RNAcentral lists this ribosomal RNA (497 nucleotides) under uncultured bacterium. RNAcentral describes it as "partial 16S ribosomal RNA". It matches the Rfam family "Bacterial small subunit ribosomal RNA", at positions 28 to 507 of the family's 1533-position model. The record is from RNAcentral.
GACGAACGCUGGCGGCGUGCCUAAUACAUGCAAGUAGAACGCUGAAGAGAGGAGCUUGCUCUUCUUGGAUGAGUUGCGAACGGGUGAGUAACGCGUAGGUAACCUGCCUUGUAGCGGGGGAUAACUAUUGGAAACGAUAGCUAAUACCGCAUAACAAUGGAUGACACAUGUCAUUUAUUUGAAAGGGGCAAUUGCUCCACUACAAGAUGGACCUGCGUUGUAUUAGCUAGUAGGUGAGGUAAUGGCUCACCUAGGCGACGAUACAUAGCCGACCUGAGAGGGUGAUCGGCCACACCGGGACUGAGACACGGCCCAGACUCCUACGGGAGGCAGCAGUAGGGAAUCUUCGGCCAUGGGGGCAACCCUGACCGAGCAACGCCGCGUGAGUGAAGAAGGUUUUCGGAUCGUAAAGCUCUGUUGUAAGUCAAGAACGGGUGUGAGAGUGGAAAGUUCACACUGUGACGGUAGCUUACCAGAAAGGGACGGCUAACUACGUG